AUGAGCACGAAGAGCGCCCCGAUCGAGAGCGCCGAAUCGGGAGACGGGCGUCCCGAACUGGACGUCGGACCGGGUCCAGUUCCCCUCGUCUUCUCUCCAACCAAAGGAAAGACCGAUGGCGGCGGUGGGCGGAGAAGUCGUGGGGCCGUGGCCGCGAGGAGGCGGCGGCCGGCGGAGAAGUCCGAGGCCGCGAGCUGGGAGGAGGCGGCGUUGGGAGACGUGCAACCAAGGCGGACUCGAUCCAGAGGAGGAGAGCAGCAGCGGCUCGAGCCACUCCUUAGAAGGCGGCAGAGGAGAUCCAGCGAGCGGAUCAGCUGGAGGCGUGUGGGUAGCAGAGGUCCAGCGGGUAGGUGCGGUGAAGCAGCAACGAACAGCGACGGGGAAGGAGCAGUGGCUGCCAGCAGGGAAGAAGACAGCGACGGCCGGGAGUACCGGCGGACGUGA
Molecule: ribosomal RNA, 444 nt
Filed under: Triticum aestivum (bread wheat)
Lineage: Eukaryota; Viridiplantae; Streptophyta; Magnoliopsida; Poales; Poaceae
Description: partial small subunit ribosomal RNA
Source: RNAcentral